AAGUCAUAACAAGGUUUCCGUAGGUGAACCUGCGGAAGGAUCAUUAAUAAUGCUCUCUGGCUUCGGUCAGCUGAGUUCAAUGAGUGCCUUCUCUUCGGAGUUGGCCAUCCACACACACCGUGAACUGUGGCUUCGGCCAUCACAAACUGUUAGUAAUGAAUGUAAUAUCAUAACAAAAACAAAACUUUUAACAACGGAUCUCUUGGCUCUC
Molecule: unclassified non-coding RNA, 211 nt
Filed under: Vishniacozyma carnescens
Lineage: Eukaryota; Fungi; Basidiomycota; Tremellomycetes; Tremellales; Bulleribasidiaceae
Also listed under: 3 other names
Description: partial internal transcribed spacer region
Rfam family: Eukaryotic small subunit ribosomal RNA (bases 1-46)
Source: RNAcentral